AGACAGGCAUGAGCUGCAGUCCACAGCCUGCUCACGGGCAAAUAGCAUGCUGGCGAUUUAGAAGCUACAUAGAAGCUACUCCUUGAUGCCAAAGUAUUGAUUUAGGCAACGACACUUCUAUUUAUGGGAAAGGGAAAAAGAGACAAGAAGAAGGCUGAAGAUGCAGAAUAGAAAGGAUGAGCCUUAUUCUGGAGCUUGUCACAUCAGUGUUGCUACUUAGGUGAUUAAAAAGAAGCAGCGGGAUCUUGGAGAAAACGUCUGACGAAAGAACUUGAUCUGCACCUAGUGACUCAUUCGUCUUGUGGCUGCCUCUGGAUUUGUGAGUAUGGUGCCUAGAAAGAAAUAACCAACAAAUCAAAGUCUAUUUCAUUGAUGCACAUGUUGGCACCCUUUGAAAGAUCCGGAAAUCCACAUGUUGAACAUGAAUUUAGGGCUGCGGUUGCUGCAAAGGUAUCUUCCACAACUUGAUUUUCUAUGAUUUCAAUUACUCAGGGACUAGGGGAACCUUCCUGGAGUGUAUAGCCAAAGGAAGACCUGUUAACUGGGGAUGCAGGAGGAGACUUGUGGAAGAGUGUGUUCCAGGCAGAGGCACCAUUUUGUGCAGAGGACUUGAGAAUAUAAGUUCCAUAAGGACAAGACUCGUCUGCCAUGAUUGCUGUUAUAUCCCCAGCUCCUAGAAGAGAGCCUGUCAUAUAGAAGGUGGUUGGUAAACAUAUGCUGAAUCAGGGAAUGAAUGCGCAACUGCAGGUUUUGUCAAGAAGUGAGGGGGAGAGAAUUGGUGAAAAUUCACUUUAACGAAACAGCUUUAUUGAGACUUAAUUCACAUACCAUACAAUUCGCCCAUUUAAAGUGUACAGUGGUUUUAGUAUAUUCACAGACUUGUGCAUCCAUUGCCACAAUCAACUUUAGAACAUUUUCAUUACACCAGAAAGUUACCCCACACCCCUUAGCCAUCACUCCAAGUCACCUAUACCCCCAGCCCUACGCAAACAUCAAUCUACUUUCUAUCUCUAUAGAUUUGCCUGUUCUGGACAUUUCAUAUAAAUGGAAUCAUACAGUUUGUGGUCCUCUGUAAAUGGCUUCUUUCACUUAGCACAGUGUUUUCAAGGUUCGUCCAUGGUGUAUUAUGUCAUUUACUUUUACAGAUUUAGAAAUUCUAUCCCUAGAUCUUGUUAGACCACCAGAAGGCUACACACUGGGGUGGUGGUAGUUAAUCUCAGAGGUUUUAUUUUAUUUUAUUUUUUUAAAGUUUUUUUUAUGUGGACCAUUUUUUAAAGUCUUUAUUGAAUUUGUUACAAUACUGCUUCUGUUUUAUGUUUUGGUUUUUUGGCUGCAAGGCAAGGCAUGUGGAAUCUUAGCUCCCCAACCAGGGAUCAAACCCGCACCCCCUGCAUUGGAAGGCAAAGUCUUAACAACUGGACCGCCAGGGAAGUCCCUGUCUCAGAGGUUUUAAAAUCAUGGCUGCACAUCAGAAUUCCUCCUCCCUCUCAUUUUCCAGCUUGUGGCAUGUUUAGAAAACCCAGAGUAUCUGGUUCUACUCUAGAGUCUAUGGAGUGCAACCUGAGUUGAGAACCAUUGGUUUAGCUAAUUACCUUCAUUGGGUUGUUAUGUAACGUUAUGCAUUUGACUUUAAUAUUACAAGUAAAGGUCAUAUGAAACUUGCUGUUGCAAGAUAUUGUCCCCUAACCAGCUGUUGGUGAAUCAGAUCUUGGACACCAGUCAUUUUACAAGUAUAGGUGCUACCUAUAGAAUAAUGCAAAAGCACAGUUAGGAGUUGUGCCAUGCUUUGAUUCAGCCUCAAGACUUUUCCUUUGUGAUGGUAGUCAAACUGUUUAACCUCUUAGCACCUUAUCUGUAAAACAGUCUGUCUCCUAGGGUGGUUGGAAGCAUUAAAAGAAAUAGUGUAUGAAAAGUACAUCAAACACUACAAAAUGUGUAAAAAGUAUAACUUAUCCUUACUAUUGUUAAAAUGUAGAAUCAUGGACUUUUAGAUUUAGAAUAGGAUGGAGUAGAAGUGGGGUAAGCUUAAAGUCAGAAGAAUUGGUUCUGCUUCUGUUGGUCCAUGAAACGAGCAACGCCCUCACUUUGAUUUCUCUUUCCUUGUUGGUAUAUGUUACGGUUGGACCAGGUGAUAACUAAAGACCCUUCAAAUGAAAAAAAUAUGCAAAUCAGAUAUUCUCUGACCCAUUAUAGUGACUCCUCUAAUACUUCAAAUGACUUCCAGUGGCUUGGGCUGACUCUACCCUGACAUUACUUAUAACGCACACGUACCUACUUCAAUUUAGUCAUUACUCAGAGCCAACCAUCUUUUGUAAAAGUCUACCUUCCAAUACUAACCACCUCCCAGUACAUUAUUAUUAUGAAAAAUUUCUAAACAUAUUGAAAAGCAGAGAGUACAGUUGACCCUUGAACAGUGUGGGUUUGAACUGCAUGGAUCUACUUACAUGUGGAUUUUUUCCCAAUAAUAAAUACUACAGUACUACAGGAUCUGCAGUUGGUUGAAUUGUGGAUGCAGAACUGCAGAUCUGGAGGGCUGACUAUAAAUUAUAGGUGUAUUUUCAACUGCCUGCAGGGUCAACACCCCUAACAACUGCAUUGUUCAAGGGUCAGCUGUAUAAUGAACAACGAUAGACUCAUCCUACAUAAAAUUUACCAUAUCUUAUCUUCUUUGAACUAUUUUUAAAAAAUUUAUUCAUAAUAUUUAACUUUAUUCCAGAGUGCCUACAUAAGAUAAUGACAUUUAUCUACAUAACCACAAUUGCAU
Physeter macrocephalus (sperm whale) is the source of this 2764-nucleotide long non-coding RNA. RefSeq lists it as uncharacterized. The transcript has 6 exons. The record is from RefSeq and is a predicted model, not a curated record. NCBI's taxonomy places the organism in Eukaryota, Metazoa, Chordata, Mammalia, Artiodactyla, Physeteridae.